RNAcentral lists this ribosomal RNA (671 nucleotides) under Cortinarius fulvescens. RNAcentral's name for it is "eukaryotic LSU rRNA". It matches the Rfam family "Eukaryotic large subunit ribosomal RNA", at positions 1 to 651 of the family's 3401-position model. The record is from RNAcentral. Lineage: Eukaryota; Fungi; Basidiomycota; Agaricomycetes; Agaricales; Cortinariaceae.
GUGACCUCAAAUCAGGUAGGACUACCCGCUGAACUUAAGCAUAUCAAUAAGCGGAGGAAAAGAAACUAACAAGGAUUCCCCUAGUAACUGCGAGUGAAGCGGGAAAAGCUCAAAUUUAAAAUCUGGCGGCCUUUUGGCUGUCCGAGUUGUAAUCUAGAGAAGUGUUAUCCGCGCUGGACCGUGUACAAGUCUCCUGGAAUGGAGCAUCAUAGAGGGUGAGAAUCCCGUCUUUGACAUGGACUGCCAGGGCUUUUGUGAUGCGCUCUCAAAGAGUCGAGUUGUUUGGGAAUGCAGCUCAAAAUGGGUGGUAAAUUCCAUCUAAAGCUAAAUAUUGGCGAGAGACCGAUAGCGAACAAGUACCGUGAGGGAAAGAUGAAAAGAACUUUGGAAAGAGAGUUAAACAGUACGUGAAAUUGCUGAAAGGGAAACGCUUGAAGUCAGUUGCGUUGUCCAGAGAUCAGCCUUGCUUUUGCUUGGUGCACUUUCUGGUUCGACGGGUCAGCAUCAAUUUUGACCAUUGGAAAAAGGCUAAGGGAAUGUGGCAUCUUUGGAUGUGUUAUAGCCCUYGGUCACAUACAAUGGUUGGGAUUGAGGAACUCAGCACGCCGCAAGGCCGGGUUUUAAACCACGUACGUGCUUAGGAUGCUGGCAAUAUGGCUUUAAUCGACCCG